AUGAUAUUAAGUCCUUUACAUUACCAUGCACAGGCUAUACAGGAUGUACAGGUGUUUGGGGCAACUGGACACAAUUUGGUGAAUGUUCUACUUCUUGUGACGAAGGACAAAUGUUAUUUACCAGAAAAUGUAACCAUCCAUUACCGGGCCAUUUGGCUACUGAUUGUGAUGGUGAAAACAUAGAAAACAGAACAUGCAACCUACGUGGAUGUCCAGGAUCAUGGAGCUGUUGGGAGGAUGAUGGUCACUGUUCAACUUCUUGUGGCAAUGGGACGCAGAUAAGGCAACGAAGGUGCAAUAAUCCAGCUCCAAGUAAUAAUGGAGUCGAAUGUGCUGGGGAAAAUGUGACUUCUGUUCAGUGCAUCAUUAAAGAGUGUCCAGUUUAUAAAUGGGGACAUUUGAAAGAGCUAAACUUAACAAAGA
Molecule: long non-coding RNA, 423 nt
Organism: Mytilus californianus (California mussel)
Lineage: Eukaryota; Metazoa; Mollusca; Bivalvia; Mytilida; Mytilidae
Exons: 4
Source: RefSeq, a predicted model, not a curated record